AUAAAACCAAAACUCAUAUGUUAACAAAAACGAUACAUAGGUAGAGUAUACCUAUUCAUAAAGAACUCUAAGAAUAGACAAGAUGAAAGCCUAUUAUACCAAUAAUAUGAGUCUCUAUGAAUAAAAUCUAAAUUAGCUAGCUUCUUGACAGAAAAACCUUUCUCGGAUCUUUAUUUUUAAGCUUUUCAGAUGAUCAAGAUUUAAAGUGCUGCAAC
Molecule: long non-coding RNA, 215 nt
Filed under: Phaseolus vulgaris (common bean)
Lineage: Eukaryota; Viridiplantae; Streptophyta; Magnoliopsida; Fabales; Fabaceae
Description: long non-coding RNA (PVUL_LNC000474)
Source: RNAcentral